AGAGUUUGAUCCUGGCUCAGAUUGAACGCUGGCGGCAGGCUUAACACAUGCAAGUCGAGCGGAGAUGAGGUGCUUGCACCUUAUCUUAGCGGCGGACGGGUGAGUAAUGCUUAGGAAUCUGCCUAUUAGUGGGGGACAACAUUCCGAAAGGAAUGCUAAUACCGCAUACGUCCUACGGGAGAAAGCAGGGGAUCUUCGGACCUUGCGCUAAUAGAUGAGCCUAAGUCGGAUUAGCUAGUUGGUGGGGUAAAGGCCUACCAAGGCGACGAUCUGUAGCGGGUCUGAGAGGAUGAUCCGCCACACUGGGACUGAGACACGGCCCAGACUCCUACGGGAGGCAGCAGUGGGGAAUAUUGGACAAUGGGGGAAACCCUGAUCCAGCCAUGCCGCGUGUGUGAAGAAGGCCUUAUGGUUGUAAAGCACUUUAAGCGAGGAGGAGGCUACUGAGACUAAUACUCUUGGAUAGUGGACGUUACUCGCAGAAUAAGCACCGGCUAACUCUGUGCCAGCAGCCGCGGUAAUACAGAGGGUGCGAGCGUUAAUCGGAUUUACUGGGCGUAAAGCGUGCGUAGGCGGCUUUUUAAGUCGGAUGUGAAAUCCCCGAGCUUAACUUGGGAAUUGCAUUCGAUACUGGGAAGCUAGAGUAUGGGAGAGGAUGGUAGA
RNAcentral lists this ribosomal RNA (663 nucleotides) under uncultured bacterium. RNAcentral's name for it is "bacterial SSU rRNA". It matches the Rfam family "Bacterial small subunit ribosomal RNA", at positions 8 to 665 of the family's 1533-position model. The record is from RNAcentral.